This 165-nucleotide ribosomal RNA is filed under the name Triticum aestivum (bread wheat). Its description in RNAcentral is "partial small subunit ribosomal RNA". The record is from RNAcentral. Lineage: Eukaryota; Viridiplantae; Streptophyta; Magnoliopsida; Poales; Poaceae.
CUCAGCUGGCCGCAGAGGAAGGCCAUCGCCAUUGGCGUGGCCCAAGGGCUCUGCCACUUACACCAUGGAUGCAAUAGACCGAUUGUCCACCACAACAUCACCUCUAAUAACAUCUUGCUUGAUCAGGAGUUGAAUGCCAAGAUCGCCAGUUUUGGUGCUGCACAG